Molecule: ribosomal RNA, 376 nt
Filed under: uncultured bacterium
Lineage: Bacteria
Description: bacterial SSU rRNA
Rfam family: Bacterial small subunit ribosomal RNA
Source: RNAcentral
AACGAACGCUGGCGGCAGGCUUAACACAUGCAAGUCGAACGGGCGUAGCAAUACGUCAGUGGCAGACGGGUGAGUAACACGUGGGAACCUUCCUAGGGGUACGGAACAACUCAGGGAAACUUGAGCUAAUACCGUAUACGUCCGUGAGGAGAAAGAUUUAUCGCCCUUAGACGGGCCCGCGUCGGAUUAGCUAGUUGGUGGGGUAACGGCCUACCAAGGCGACGAUCCGUAGCUGAUCUGAGAGGAUGAUCAGCCACACUGGGACUGAGACACGGCCCAGACUCCUACGGGAGGCAGCAGUGGGGAAUCUUGGACAAUGGGCGCAAGCCUGAUCCAGCCAUGCCGCGUGAGUGAAGAAGGCCUUCGGGUUGUAAAG